Molecule: ribosomal RNA, 465 nt
Filed under: uncultured bacterium
Lineage: Bacteria
Description: partial 16S ribosomal RNA
Rfam family: Bacterial small subunit ribosomal RNA
Source: RNAcentral
GACGAACGCUGGCGGCGUGCUUAACACAUGCAAGUCGAACGGAAAGGCCCUGCUUGCAGGGUACUCGAGUGGCGAACGGGUGAGUAACACGUGGGUGAUCUGCCCUGCACUUCGGGAUAAGCCUGGUAAACUGGGUCUAAUACCUGAUGGGAGCCAUUUUUAGUGUGAUGGUUGGAAAGUUUUUUCGGUUUAGGGUGAGCUCGCGGCCUAUCAGCUUGUUGGUGGGGUAAUGGCCUACCAAGGCGGCGACGGGUAGCCGGCCUGCGGGGGUGGACGGCCACACUGGGACUGAGAUACGGCCCAGACUCCUACGGGAGGCAGAAGGGGGGAAUAUUGCACGAUGGGCGCAAGCCUGAUGCAGAGACGCCGCGUGGGGGAUGACGGCCUUCGGGUUGUAAACUCCUUUCGCUAGGGACGAAGCUUUUUGUGACGGUACCUAGAGAAGAAGCACCGGCUAACUACGUG